This 73-nucleotide transfer RNA is filed under the name Vigna unguiculata (cowpea). RNAcentral describes it as "tRNA TRNAY-GUA-15". It matches the Rfam family "tRNA". Rfam says of the family: Transfer RNA (tRNA) molecules are approximately 80 nucleotides in length. RNAcentral also lists the same sequence under 2 other names. The record is from RNAcentral. Lineage: Eukaryota; Viridiplantae; Streptophyta; Magnoliopsida; Fabales; Fabaceae.
CCGACCUUAACUCAGUUGGUAGAGCGGAGGACUGUAGAUCCUUAGGUCGCUGGUUCGAAUCCGGCAGGUCGGA